RNAcentral lists this long non-coding RNA (554 nucleotides) under Mytilus galloprovincialis (Mediterranean mussel). Lineage: Eukaryota; Metazoa; Mollusca; Bivalvia; Mytilida; Mytilidae. The record is from RNAcentral.
GAAUGUGAUAUGACUAUUGUUUCUCCCUUUUCUAUAUAUAUUUUCUUCAAAUAUUACAUCAACCCGUUUUUAUAGCAUUGUUAAUGGUAUAUUUUCUAUCUAAUUUUCUACGAUGAAUGUUUAAUUAUUUUGAGAACAAAAUUAAUGUAAGUUUGCGGGUGGCAAUGAACAUUACCCUUUCCUGGAUCAUGAUAUCUAUAUCUUUAACGGGAAGCUUAAUUCCAAAAUUUAUGACAAAAGAGAUGAUUUUUCGUUUCCUAUUGUCAAUUAUCCAUUGUUUGAUGGUAACGUUCCUUUUUCACCAUCUUAUGGUGUUUGUAUAUAUCUCAACUUGUCCGAUUCGCUCGUGUAACGUAUUUGAUUUCAACGAAAGAAAUCUCUGUAUUACUGAAAAGUUAUUACUCCAGGGUUUUUCGAUAUCACAAACUAGUCUACAUAAGUGUAAAUUAGUAUGCUGAUCAGAGCUGGAACCGCUUGGGGUUUUGGAGCCUCUGGCCUUUGUUAGUCUUGUAUAUCUUUAAUUUUACUUCAUUUAUAUGUUUUGGAGUUAAGUG